This 88-nucleotide microRNA precursor is filed under the name Ovis aries (sheep). Its description in RNAcentral is "miRNA (ENSOARG00000021912.1)". The record is from RNAcentral. Lineage: Eukaryota; Metazoa; Chordata; Mammalia; Artiodactyla; Bovidae.
UCAUCUGGAUGGUUUAUUAAAACCCUGAUUUAGUAGAUCUAGGGUAGAGUCUGGGAAUUUGCAUUUCUAACAAGUUCCCAGGUGGUGC